UAGUCAGGCUGUGCAAGAAUGAGACGUGCACAGUUCACAUAUAGGAUUUGACCCUUCACUUAUACCAGCCAAAAUGGGCACCAGUACAAUUUAAUAUUGCAUUUGUCACUGCGAUGCAACAGGAAAGUGUUUUGGACGUAAUAUGCUCACACGUACAUCUUGUUCAUCAUUCUGCCCUCUAUGGAGAUAUUGACAUCAAUACCUUUCCGUUAUAACUACUGUACAAUAAUACACCAGCCAUCAAAUUUAGUACAUAUAAAUCUACAUAUAAUUUAGUACAUGUGAACUGGAAACGUUAGGUAACAAAAUACACCAACUUAGUACGUCAUGAAAAACAUACAAAAACAGAGAAAAAAAACUCAACUUCUACCUACCUAAUAAAUGCCAUGUGGGGUUUUUGUCUGAGAAGUUGCCAGCUAAUGAAUUUGAGGAUAUUCCCACUUGUAAGAAUAAGGGGUGCCAAGAUUCUAUCGUUGCUUCAAUAUGAUGAGGACAAAUGGAGCUCUGAGGUACUGUUAUACUUCUUUUGAAGAAUAGAAUGCUUGUGCUGUCCUGAGAAAUAGUAAUUAUUCCUGUAUGUGGAGUCUAUGUACUAUUGUAAGUUUUCAUGUUCAUAGGAAUUGGAAUGUAUAAUUCAUGUUAUCCACACCAGAGGAAAUUCUUCCUUAACAGAAACAGAAGUGGCGAUUUCUA
Molecule: long non-coding RNA, 693 nt
Organism: Lycium barbarum (goji berry)
Lineage: Eukaryota; Viridiplantae; Streptophyta; Magnoliopsida; Solanales; Solanaceae
Exons: 2
Source: RefSeq, a predicted model, not a curated record